This 794-nucleotide long non-coding RNA is filed under the name Cricetulus griseus (Chinese hamster). Its description in RNAcentral is "lncRNA (ENSCGRG00015029903.1)". Lineage: Eukaryota; Metazoa; Chordata; Mammalia; Rodentia; Cricetidae. The record is from RNAcentral.
GAGCGAGCGCCGGUCCUGCGCGCGUGCGGCGUGGCGCUCCGGCGCCGCUCGCUGCUCCGGUGCCGCGCAGAGCCGAGCGGCGCCCGCGGGGUGUGCGCGCUGCAGGGCGGACCACUGCUGCCCGGGCCCGCGGGGGUGGCGGCUGGGGACGACGGUCGCCCUCUGCCGCGGCGGGUGCGGGUGCCUGGACUCUGGGGAAGCCGCGGCCACUGCCCCGGGCCGGCAGUGCACGAGCCCGGCCGCCGGCUGCCCACCCUGUCCCCUGCACACGUACCGAGCGGUCGCUGCGACCCGACGCCCGGCGCAUCUUCCGCGGGUGGCGGGUGUGGGCGGCGGGCCCGCGGGGUGGUGCGGCCGGGGAAGGGAGGCUGCACCUUCUGUCCGGGUCCCCCGGGUUGCUUGCGGGCGGCGCCGCGGCCCAGGCGGUGAUGCGGGACGACUGAGGGCGAUCAUCUGGGAGGACGCCGUCCCCUGCCCCACCGGCGCGGUGGUAUCUCCCUUAAAGAAGCCGGAACCUCAUUGUUCCCGGCGAUCUCUCUCUUAUGAAAAACCAUGGACCCCAGUUUGUGUUGGCGUACUACUUCUGGUCACCGGGCCUUCCCUGGAGCGUGGUCAAUAUACCAGGUGUAUCUGCUGAAGAAAACUGACUUCCCUCUCUCAGAACCAGCAGCUCUCAAAGGCCAAUCAUUCCUCAUAGCUCCUCACUCAUGGUGGGACUUCAUGGCCACCUCUUCCCCCACACUGGGAUUCUGUCUGGCUUGAGCUUGUGGAGGUCCUGGGCCUGUUCUCACAGU